CGUAGGUGGCAAGCGUUGUCCGGAAUUAUUGGGCGUAAAGCGCGCGCAGGCGGUCCUUUAAGUCUGAUGUGAAAGCCCACGGCUCAACCGUGGAGGGUCAUUGGAAACUGGAGGACUUGAGUACAGAAGAGGAAAGCGGAAUUCCACGUGUAGCGGUGAAAUGCGUAGAGAUGUGGAGGAACACCAGUGGCGAAGGCGGCUUUCUGGUCUGUAACUGACGCUGAGGCGCGAAAGCGUGGGGAGCAAACAGGAUUAGAUACCCUGGUAGUCCACGCCGUAAACGAUGAGUGCUAAGUGUUAGGGGGUUUCCGCCCCUUAGUGCUGCAGCUAACGCAUUAAGCACUCCGCCUGGGGAGUACGGUCGCAAGACUG
RNAcentral lists this ribosomal RNA (372 nucleotides) under uncultured organism. Its description in RNAcentral is "bacterial SSU rRNA". It matches the Rfam family "Bacterial small subunit ribosomal RNA", at positions 526 to 896 of the family's 1533-position model. The record is from RNAcentral.